ACCCAACGAAGCAGUGAUGGAAUACGCGCAAUAAACGUGUGGAUUUUUAUUUUAAUUUCAAACGCCUAAAACGUCUCUUAAACGUGCAAUAACGUAGUUUUUUCCUAUUAGUGGCGUUUUCGUUUUUCUUUUUGAUUUUUUUAUAUGAAUUUUUGUUUCACAACAACAGUUUACACUUUGAAAAUUACAAAGGAAAUUAAAGAAAAAAGCUAAACAAAAGGAUUGCCAAGAAAAGAGCAUAGAAAAAUUUUGUGUUAAUAAGAAAAAGAUUUUGCGAAAAGCAACAUAAAGUGAUUUUCUUUUUCAACAUUUCUUGCGCAAAAAUAACAAAAAAAGAAGUCAAAAUAUAAAGCAAAAUAUAAAAAUUAUCAUAAAUAUAACAAAAAAUAAAAAAAACUAAUAAAAACAACAAAACCUCUCUGACCCCUUGGAGAAAAAAAAAACACAACUACAAUAAGCAGCAAAACCUCGGGAAAGGAAAACUAUCAGCACACCACCAAAAACAACAAUUUUAAUACCAUUCCAAGCUGUACUCCAUCAACAACAAAUCUUAUUAUAAACAACUAAAAUUUUGUUGUUAUUAGUUUUUGCCUUAACUCACCUCGUGUUUAUAUUAUUUUUUGCUGUUUUUUUUUUUUUUUGAUAAUUUUUGGUUGUGUUUUCUGUUGUUGUUUUUGUGAAUACUCUU
Long non-coding RNA from Lucilia sericata (common green bottle fly), 688 nucleotides. RefSeq lists it as uncharacterized. The record is from RefSeq and is a predicted model, not a curated record. Lineage: Eukaryota; Metazoa; Arthropoda; Insecta; Diptera; Calliphoridae. The transcript has 2 exons.